GGACUACCGGGGUAUCUAAUCCCGUUCGCUCCCCUAGCUUUCGCGUCUCAGUGUCAGUUGGCAGCCAGAAAGUCGCCUUCGCCGCUGGUGUUCCUCCCGAUAUCUACGCAUUUCACUACUACACCGGGAAUUCCACUUUCCUCUCUGCCACUCUAGCCGCGCAGUAUUGAUUGCAGUUUCCCGGUUGAGCCGGGAGAUUUCACAACCAACUUACGCAACCACCUACACGCUCUUUACGCCCAGUAAAUCCGGAUAACGCUUGCCCCCUACGUAUUACCGCGGCUGCUGGCAC
This 292-nucleotide ribosomal RNA is filed under the name uncultured bacterium. Its description in RNAcentral is "partial 16S ribosomal RNA". The record is from RNAcentral.